Long non-coding RNA from Coregonus clupeaformis (lake whitefish), 149 nucleotides. RefSeq lists it as uncharacterized. NCBI's taxonomy places the organism in Eukaryota, Metazoa, Chordata, Actinopteri, Salmoniformes, Salmonidae. The record is from RefSeq and is a predicted model, not a curated record. The transcript is spliced from 3 exons.
CCUGACUGCUCUUUCAUUCGUGUUGGAAAGUUGACUGCCAAUUUGUAACUGGAGAACACUCGAGUUCUGCAGACAUGAAAUCUUGCUUAUGGAUUGCCUUGCUUGUAACUCUGGCUAUAGGGACGAAAACACAAGACUUUGAUCUUUCU